GCCAGGUGUCGUGGUGGGCACCUGUAAUCCCAGCUACUCGGGAGGCUGAGGCAGGAGAAUAGCUUGAACCCAGGAGGCAGAGGUUGCAGUGAGCCAAGAUUACGCCACUGUACUCCAGCCUGGGUGACAGAGCCAGACUCUGUCUCAA
Macaca mulatta (Rhesus monkey) is the source of this 148-nucleotide unclassified non-coding RNA. It matches the Rfam family "Metazoan signal recognition particle RNA". Rfam says of the family: The signal recognition particle (SRP) is a universally conserved ribonucleoprotein. It is involved in the co-translational targeting of proteins to membranes. The eukaryotic SRP consists of a 300-nucleotide 7S RNA and six proteins: SRPs 72, 68, 54, 19, 14, and 9. The record is from Ensembl. Lineage: Eukaryota; Metazoa; Chordata; Mammalia; Primates; Cercopithecidae.